AUUAUGGCCUACCUGAAUUAAUAUAGAGCAAGGUUAUUUUCAACUACAGCAGUUUAGCUCGUUACAGCACUGGUGCAUCAAACCCUGUCAUUCACCGAGCACCCUGUAGAACGCCAUGUCGCUGCCAGCGGAUUUCCAAGCCUUGCACCCUGAAUGUCAAGCCUUCGUGCGAGACCGAAUAAACACGCAAAUGAGGGGAGAUGAUGAUUGGAAUGUCACCAGAAAAGCAAAAUCAGAAGCGACUGCCAAGGCGGCAAAAGAGGCCGCUUACGACUUCAAAGGGACUAGGGGAGAGAUAACUAUUCCGUCACCGCACGUGAAAGAGGGCCUUAGAGCGUGGGUUUACACCCCGGCUAAUGGCCCCAAGAACCCUCCAAUCGUGGUGUACUUCCAUGGCGGAGGCUGGGUCCUCUGCAGCCUGGAGGAUGUGGAUACUUUUGUGAAGAUGCUGACUGACACCGCCAACUGCAUCGUAGUGAGCGUGGAUUAUCGUCUGGCACCAGAACACAAAUUUCCUGCCGCCAUUGACGACUGUGAGACUGCCGCCAAAUGGGUUCUGGGGAACAAGGAAUUUGUGGGUGGCAGCACGCUCAGCAAGGUUGGUGUCGUUGGUGAAAGUGCAGGAGGACAUCUGUCGGCCUGUGUGUCACAUGAUGUCCCAGGACUAGCGUUUCAGGUGCUCAUCUAUCCGGUGACGGAUAUGCGGAUUGACACCCGGGAGUCGUACAAACGCUAUGCGGAGGGCUACGUUCUUACCACCGAGGCUAUGUACUGGUUUGUAAAUCACUUCCUCCACAACGAGGCUGAGAGGUCGGAUCCACGUGCCUCUCCAAUUCUACGGACAAAGUUUGACCACCUUCCACCAGCCUUGUACGUCGCCGCCACCCAUGAUGUCCUGUUUGACGAAGGGAUGGGUAUAUUAUUUUUUAUUAUUCAUGCAAAUAUGCCAAAAAACUGAGAGAAGCUGGAGUAACAAUUGAAACCCUUAUGUUAGAGGGAAUCACUCACUGUACGGUUUAUUUUCCUAAUUAUUUCAAAGAGACGAAUGCCAAGAUAUGCGGGAAGGUUGCAGAGUUCGUGAAAAAACAUUCUGAAUAAACGCUCCUGGCAUCAACGUU
RNAcentral lists this unclassified non-coding RNA (1118 nucleotides) under Lingula anatina. RNAcentral's name for it is "aB hydrolase superfamily protein C1039.03, transcript variant X1". The record is from RNAcentral. Lineage: Eukaryota; Metazoa; Brachiopoda; Lingulata; Lingulida; Lingulidae.